RNAcentral lists this long non-coding RNA (524 nucleotides) under Homo sapiens (human). Its description in RNAcentral is "HSALNT0336141". Lineage: Eukaryota; Metazoa; Chordata; Mammalia; Primates; Hominidae. The record is from RNAcentral.
GGAUUGCUAUUUCAGACGGCGGUUGCAGCAGCCGACCUGUCUCAACUCCACCACUGUAGUCAGAGAAUCAAAAGCGGUCUGAGUUGCGAGGUCAUUGGGGAGGCCCCCACCCCCACAUUACCAGUGAGGAAACUGAGACUUAAAAAAGUGACCUGACCUGGACACGGGAUUGCCUGACAUCAGAGCUGGAUUCUUAAGUUCCUGUUAGUGUUAAGGCGCUGCUCAGACUUUUAGUAAAGGUGAGCGCCAUCUACUGCCAAGUCUCACAAAAUAUUCGCAAAAUUUGAUACGGUUAUCACAUGGUAAAAAUUAGACUUUAAAAGUUGUAUUUAAUGCUGUGUUUUCAGCUGUUGUACACUUAUGUAAUUUUAAUUAUGCAAAGUUAUCCUAAUAAUAUAGGAAUAUUAAUUGCUUUCGUGAGGUCUGUCUUGAUGUGCCACGAUGACUUUUUUGAUGUGCCAAAAAAGAUGACUACAUAGUGCUUUUACCUUUUUGCUCAAAUAGAAAGAUUUUAUUUCCCCUUG